AUUGCCUUAGUAACGGCGAGUGAAGCGGCAACAGCUCAAAUUUGAAAUCUGGCCCCAGGCCCGAGUUGUAAUUUGCAGAGGAUGCUUUUGGUGAGGUGCCUUCCGAGUUCCCUGGAACGGGACGCCAUAGAGGGUGAGAGCCCCGUCUGGUCGGACACCGAGCCUCUGUAAAGCUCCUUCGACGAGUCGAGUAGUUUGGGAAUGCUGCUCUAAAUGGGAGGUAUAUGUCUUCUAAAGCUAAAUACCGGCCAGAGACCGAUAGCGCACAAGUAGAGUGAUCGAAAGAUGAAAAGCACUUUGAAAAGAGAGUUAAAUAGCACGUGAAAUUGUUGAAAGGGAAGCGUUUAUGACCAGACUUGGCCCGGUUGAUCAUCCAGCGUUCUCGCUGGUGCACUCUGCCGGUCCAGGCCAGCAUCAGUUCGUCGCGGGGGACAAAGGCUUCGGGAAUGUGGCUCCUCCGGGAGUGUUAUAGCCCGUUGCGUAAUACCCUGCGGUGGACUGAGGUCCGCGCUUCUGCAAGGAUGCUGGCGUAAUGGUCAUCAACGACCCGUCUUGAAACACGGACCAAGGAGUCGUCUUCGUAUGCGAGUGUUCGGGUGUAAAACCCCUACGCGUAAUGAAAGUGAACGCAGGUGAGAGCUUCGGCGCAUCAUCGACCGAUCCUGAUGUUCUCGGAUGGAUUUGAGUAAGAGCAUACGGGGCCGGACCCGAAAGAAGGUGAACUAUGCCUGUAUAGGGUGAAGCCAGAGGAAACUCUGGUGGAGGCUCGCAGCGGUUCUGACGUGCAAAUCGAUCGUCAAAUAUGGGCAUGGGGGCGAAAGACUAAU
This 827-nucleotide ribosomal RNA is filed under the name Myrothecium inundatum. Its description in RNAcentral is "eukaryotic LSU rRNA". It matches the Rfam family "Eukaryotic large subunit ribosomal RNA", at positions 74 to 935 of the family's 3401-position model. The record is from RNAcentral. Lineage: Eukaryota; Fungi; Ascomycota; Sordariomycetes; Hypocreales; Stachybotryaceae.